This 75-nucleotide transfer RNA is filed under the name Desulforamulus ruminis. Its description in RNAcentral is "tRNA-Gln". It matches the Rfam family "tRNA". Rfam says of the family: Transfer RNA (tRNA) molecules are approximately 80 nucleotides in length. Their secondary structure includes four short double-helical elements and three loops (D, anti-codon, and T loops). The record is from RNAcentral. RNAcentral also lists the same sequence under 11 other names. Lineage: Bacteria; Bacillati; Bacillota; Clostridia; Eubacteriales; Peptococcaceae.
UGGGGCGUCGCCAAGCGGUAAGGCACCGGUCUUUGGAAUCGGCAUUCGUUGGUUCGAAUCCAGCCGCCCCAGCCA